This 379-nucleotide ribosomal RNA is filed under the name uncultured eukaryote. RNAcentral describes it as "partial 18S ribosomal RNA". It matches the Rfam family "Eukaryotic small subunit ribosomal RNA", at positions 592 to 976 of the family's 1831-position model. The record is from RNAcentral.
CAAUAGCGUAUAUUUAAGUUGUUGCAGUUAAAAAGCUCGUAGUUGGAUUUCGGAUGGGAUUUGCCGGUCCGUCGUUACGAUGUGCACUGGCCAGUCCUAUCUUGUUGUCGGGGACUAGCUCCUUGGAUUCACUUCCUGGGACUAGGAGCUGACGAGGUUACUUUGAGUAAAUUAGAGUGUUCAAAGCAAGCCUACGCUCUGAAUACAUUAGCAUGGAAUAACACGAUAGGACUCUGGCUUAUCUUGUUGGUCUGUGAGACCAGAGUAAUGAUUAAGAGGGACAGUCGGGGACAUUCGUAUUUCAUUGUCAGAGGUGAAAUUCUUGGAUUUAUGAAAGACGAACUUCUGCGAAAGCAUUUGUCAAGGAUGUCUUCAUUAA